Molecule: ribosomal RNA, 447 nt
Filed under: uncultured bacterium
Lineage: Bacteria
Description: SSU rRNA
Rfam family: Bacterial small subunit ribosomal RNA
Source: RNAcentral
AGAGCGAACGCUGGCGGCAGGCUUAACACGUGCAAGUCGAGCGGGCGUAGCAAUACGUCAGCGGCAGACGGGUGAGUAACGCGUGGGAACAUACCUUUUGGUUCGGAACAACACAGGGAAACUUGUGCUAAUACCGGAUAAGCCCUUACGGGGAAAGAUUUAUCGCCGAAAGAUUGGCCCGCGUCUGAUUAGCUAGUUGGUGAGGUAAUGGCUCACCAAGGCGACGAUCAGUAGCUGGUCUGAGAGGAUGAUCAGCCACAUUGGGACUGAGACACGGCCCAAACUCCUACGGGAGGCAGCAGUGGGGAAUAUUGGACAAUGGGCGCAAGCCUGAUCCAGCCAUGCCGCGUGAGUGAUGAAGGCCCUAGGGUUGUAAAGCUCUUUUGUGCGGGAAGAUAAUGACGGUACCGCAAGAAUAAGCCCGGCUAACUUCGCGCCAGCAGCCGC